AUACGGAGGAUGCGAGCGUUAUCCGGAUUUAUUGGGUUUAAAGGGAGCGUAGGUGGGAUAUUAAGUCAGCUGUGAAAGUUUGGGGCUCAACCUUAAAAUUGCAGUUGAUACUGGUUUCCUUGAGUACGGUACAGGUGGGCGGAAUUCGUGGUGUAGCGGUGAAAUGCUUAGAUAUCACGAAGAACUCCGAUCGCGAAGGCAGCUCACCGGGCCGGAACUGACACUGAUGCUCGAAAGUGCGGGUAUCAAACAGGAUUAGAUACCCUGGUAGUCCGCCCAGUAAACGAUGAAUACUCGCUGUUUGCGAUACACUGUAAGCGGCCAAGCGAAAGCGUUAAGUAUUCCACCUGGGGAGUCCGCCGGCAACGGUGAAACUCAAAUGAAUUGACGGGG
RNAcentral lists this ribosomal RNA (393 nucleotides) under uncultured bacterium. RNAcentral describes it as "partial 16S ribosomal RNA". It matches the Rfam family "Bacterial small subunit ribosomal RNA", at positions 523 to 918 of the family's 1533-position model. The record is from RNAcentral.